RNAcentral lists this ribosomal RNA (641 nucleotides) under uncultured bacterium. RNAcentral's name for it is "bacterial SSU rRNA". It matches the Rfam family "Bacterial small subunit ribosomal RNA", at positions 233 to 885 of the family's 1533-position model. The record is from RNAcentral.
GCGGCCUAUCAGCUUGUUGGUGGGGUAAUGGCCUACCAAGGCGACGACGGGUAGCCGGCCUGAGAGGGUGUCCGGCCACACUGGGACUGAGAUACGGUCCAGACUCCUACGGGAGGCAGCAGUGGGGAAUAUUGCACAAUGGGCGCAAGCCUGAUGCAGCGACGCCGCGUGAGGGAUGACGGCCUUCGGGUUGUAAACCUCUUUCAGCAGGGACGAAGCGCAAGUGACGGUACCUGUAGAAGAAGGACCGGCCAACUACGUGCCAGCAGCCGCGGUAAUACGUAGGGUCCGAGCGUUGUCCGGAAUUACUGGGCGUAAAGAGCUCGUAGGUGGUUUGUCGCGUUGUUCGUGAAAACUCACAGCUUAACUGUGGGCGUGCGGGCGAUACGGGCAGACUUGAGUACUGCAGGGGAGACUGGAAUUCCUGGUGUAGCGGUGGAAUGCGCAGAUAUCAGGAGGAACACCGGUGGCGAAGGCGGGUCUCUGGGCAGUAACUGACGCUGAGGAGCGAAAGCGUGGGGAGCGAACAGGAUUAGAUACCCUGGUAGUCCACGCCGUAAACGGUGGGUACUAGGUGUGGGUUUCCUUCCUUGGGAUCCGUGCCGUAGCUAACGCAUUAAGUACCCCGCCUGGGAGUACGG